Molecule: ribosomal RNA, 402 nt
Filed under: uncultured Strobilidiidae
Lineage: Eukaryota; Ciliophora; Spirotrichea; Choreotrichida; Strobilidiidae
Description: partial small subunit ribosomal RNA
Rfam family: Eukaryotic small subunit ribosomal RNA
Source: RNAcentral
GCUUGUCUCAAAGAUUAAGCCAUGCAUGUCUAAGUAUAAACAACUUUAUACUGUAAAACUGCGAACGGCUCAUUAUAUCAGCAAUAAUUUAUUUGAUGGUUUCUUACCCCAUGGAUAACUGUGGUAAUUCUAGAGCUAAUACAUGCUGUAAAGCCCGACUUUUCGGAAGGGCCGUAUUUAUUAGAUAACAGACCAAUAUUCCUCGUGUCUAUUGUGGUGAAUCAUAGUAACUAAUCGGAUCGCAUGGGCUAGUCCCGCGACAAACCAUUCAAGUUUCUGCCCCAUCAGCUUUCGAUGGUAGUGUAUUGGACUACCAUGGCUUUUACGGGUAACGGAGGAUUAGGGUUCGAUUCCGGAGAGGGAGCCUGAGAAACGGCUACCACAUCUAAGGAAGGCAGCAGG